This 407-nucleotide ribosomal RNA is filed under the name uncultured bacterium. RNAcentral describes it as "bacterial SSU rRNA". It matches the Rfam family "Bacterial small subunit ribosomal RNA", at positions 28 to 431 of the family's 1533-position model. The record is from RNAcentral.
GACGAACGCUGGCGGCGUGCUUAACACAUGCAAGUGGAGCGACGAACCAGGCUUCGGCCUGGGGCAGAGCCGCGAACGGGUGAGUAACACGUGGGUAACCUGCCCUGAUGAUCGGGACAACCCGGGGAAACCCGGGCUAAUACCGAAUGUGCCCGCGAGCCACAAGGCUUGCGAGGAAAGGAAGCUUCGGCCUCCGCAUCGGGAUGGGCCCGCGGCCCAUUAGCUUGUUGGUGGGGUAACGGCCUACCAAGGCAGCAAUGGGUAGCUGGUCUGAGAGGACGAUCAGCCACACUGGGACUGAGACACGGCCCAGACUCCUACGGGAGGCAGCAGUGGGGAAUCUUGCGCAAUGCGCGAAAGCGUGACGCAGCAACGCCGCGUGGGGAAGACGGCCUCGGUUGUAACCC